CAUAGGUUAAUGAGGCGAACCGGGGGAACUGAAACAUCUAAGUACCCCGAGGAAAAGAAAUCAACCGAGAUUCCCCCAGUAGCGGCGAGCGAACGGGGAGCAGCCCAGAGCCUGAAUCAGUGUGUGUGUUAGUGGAAGCGUCUGGAAAGGCGCGCGAUACAGGGUGACAGCCCCGUACACAAAAAUGCACAUACUGUGAGCUCGAUGAGUAGGGCGGGACACGUGGUAUCCUGUCUGAAUAUGGGGGGACCAUCCUCCAAGGCUAAAUACUCCUGACUGACCGAUAGUGAACCAGUACCGUGAGGGAAAGGCGAAAAGAACCCCGGCGAGGGGAGUGAAAAAGAACCUGAAACCGUGUACGUACAAGCAGUGGGAGCACGCUUAGGCGUGUGACUGCGUACCUUUUGUAUAAUGGGUCAGCGACUUAUAUUCUGUAGCAAGGUUAACCGAAUAGGGGAGCCGAAGGGAAACCGAGUCUUAACUGGGCGUUAAGUUGCAGGGUAUAGACCCGAAACCCGGUGAUCUAGCCAUGGGCAGGUUGAAGGUUGGGUAACACUAACUGGAGGACCGAACCGACUAAUGUUGAAAAAUUAGCGGAUGACUUGUGGCUGGGGGUGAAAGGCCAAUCAAACCGGGAGAUAGCUGGUUCUCCCCGAAAGCUAUUUAGGUAGCGCCUCGUGAAUUCAUCUCCGGGGGUAGAGCACUGUUUCGGCAAGGGGGUCAUCCCGACUUACCAACCCGAUGCAAACUGCGAAUACCGGAGAAUGUUAUCACGGGAGACACACGGCGGGUGCUAACGUCCGUCGUGAAGAGGGAAACAACCCAGACCGCCAGCUAAGGUCCCAAAGUCAUGGUUAAGUGGGAAACGAUGUGGGAAGGCCCAGACAGCCAGGAUGUUGGCUUAGAAGCAGCCAUCAUUUAAAGAAAGCGUAAUAGCUCACUGGUCGAGUCGGCCUGCGCGGAAGAUGUAACGGGGCUAAACCAUGCACCGAAGCUGCGGCAGCGACGCUGAUGCGUUGUUGGGUAGGGGAGCGUUCUGUAAGCCUGUGA
Molecule: ribosomal RNA, 1050 nt
Filed under: Escherichia coli
Lineage: Bacteria; Pseudomonadati; Pseudomonadota; Gammaproteobacteria; Enterobacterales; Enterobacteriaceae
Description: bacterial LSU rRNA
Rfam family: Bacterial large subunit ribosomal RNA
Source: RNAcentral